Molecule: ribosomal RNA, 446 nt
Filed under: uncultured bacterium
Lineage: Bacteria
Description: partial 16S ribosomal RNA
Rfam family: Bacterial small subunit ribosomal RNA
Source: RNAcentral
GGCCAGACUCCUACGGGAGGCAGCAGUGGGGAAUAUUGCACAAUGGGGGGAACCCUGAUGCAGCGACGCCGCGUGGGUGAAGAAGUCAUUCGUGACGUAAAGCCCUAUCAGCAGGGAAGAAAAUGACGGUACCUGACUAAGAAGCCCCGGCUAACUACGUGCCAGCAGCCGCGGUAAUACGUAGGGGGCAAGCGUUAUCCGGAUUUACUGGGUGUAAAGGGAGCGUAGACGGAAAGGCAAGUCAGAAGUGAAAGCCCAAGGCUCAACCAUGGGACUGCUUUUGAAACUGUCAAACUAGAGUACGGGAGAGGUAAGAGGAAUUCCUAGUGUAGCGGUGAAAUGCGUAGAUAUUAGGAGGAACACCAGUGGCGAAGGCGGCCUGCUGGGCUUUAACUGACGCUGAGGCUCGAAAGCGUGGGGAGCAAACAGGAUUAGAUACCCCCGUA